GCUACGCAUAUUACGCACUGCAUUGUUUGGUAAACACGCAGAUUCAGCUGUUUAUAUAUCAAUCAGUAUGGCAACUAAGUCAGGGAAAGCUAAAUUGAAGUCUAGAUAUACAGGUGUACACACAAUCUUAGAAGAAAUUGAUCGGAAAAGUGAAUGUGUUGUAGGACGAUUCAUUUAGCGAUUCCCAAAUGGAGGAAUAUUUUUUGAAAUUAUUCUCAUGCUAAUCCCAGGUCCCCCCUGCUUUUGUGUGGGCUUAUACUUUCUGUCAGUGGUGUAUUAUUGUUUUGCUCUUACGUGUUUGCUGUCCGUUAUUUUCCCUGGUUGGGGGACUUAUCGGUUUAUUGGUCAUUUUGCCUGGUUGUUGGCUGGACCCAGCUGAAUAAAACGUAUUCAUUGGAAGCACUGUUCUCUGCGCCUGACUCCACACCCACCACUCCUAGCAAUCCGUGACAAAAGUCUCCUCCUCUUGUCCAAUCAGGGCCAGAUCUUUGUGUCUUUCAACAUGGCGGCUCUGUGGAAGCUGCCGUGUAUCUUCAUCUGUAACAACAACAAGUUCGGCAUGGGGACGUCUGUAGAGAGGUCCUCUGCUAGCACUGAGGACUUCAAGAAAAUAGACUAUAUUCCUGGCCUCAAGCCCUAGGACCAUGCCUCAGGACUACUUGGCCUGAUGACUCCUUGCUGUCUCCAGUCCACCUGGUCGUGCUGCUACUCCAGUUUCAACUGUUCCGCCUGUGGCUAUGGAACCCUGACCUGUUCACCGGACGUGCUACCUGUCCCAGACCUGCUGUUUUCAACUCUCUAGAGACAGCAGGAGCGGUAGAGAUACUCUUAAUGAACAGCUAUGAAAAGCCAACUGACAUUUACUCCUGAGGUGCUGACUUGCUGCACCCUCAACAACUACUGUGAUUAUUAUUAUUAUUAUUUGACCAUGCUGGUCAUUUAUGAACAUUUGAACAUCUUGGCCAUGUUCUGUUAUAAUCUACACCUGGCACAUCCAGAUGAGGACUGGUCACCCCUCAUAGCCAGGUUCCUCUCUAGGCUUCUUCCUAGGUUUUGGCCUUUCUAGGGAGUUUUUCCUAGCCACCGUGCUUCUACACCUGCAUUGCUUGCUGUUUGGGGUUUUAGGCCGGGUUUCUGUACAGCACUUUGAGAUAUCAGCUGAUGUGAGAAGGGCUAUAUAAAUACAUUUGAUUUGAGUUAUCCAGAAAACAUGACCCAUGUAUUCAUGACCCAUGUACAGUGGUUCAAAGAGCAACUUUUGCAUAGAUAAUUAUGCAACCACUUUUGUUAUCCAGCAAUGUUGAUUCAAUGAUGCACAUGUUUAUAUUCAAAACAAAGAAGUUGUAAUUAAUCAAAGUCUUAUUGUCUCAUUUAAUGUAUUGACUGUACAUUUUAUAUAACAACAUGUUUCCUAAGUUGUAGAUGACUAUGUUGGUUACUAUGCUGUACCACAGCGCCGAUGUCAAGUCUUCCGCAAAAGUUGGUCUCUCUCCUUGUUCGGGCAGUGUUCGGCGGUUGACGUCACCAACCAUUUAGCCAUCAUUGAUCAAUUUUUCAUUUUCCAUUGGUUUUAUCUUGUCUGUCUACACACCUGGUUCCAAUCCCAUCAAUUACAUGUUGUGUAUUUAACCCUCUGUUUCCCCUCAUGUCCUUGUCAGAGAUUGUUUGGUGUAUGUAGGUGUUUAUUGUUAAUUCUGGUGUGCGAUGGGUUUUGUACCCCCUAUUUGUUAUUUUGUUACUUUGGUUUUCGGAGGUUUUGAUGUUUAUUAAACAGCUCCAUUUUUAACAAA
Oncorhynchus tshawytscha (Chinook salmon) is the source of this 1790-nucleotide long non-coding RNA. The record is from Ensembl. NCBI's taxonomy places the organism in Eukaryota, Metazoa, Chordata, Actinopteri, Salmoniformes, Salmonidae.